This 594-nucleotide ribosomal RNA is filed under the name uncultured bacterium. RNAcentral describes it as "partial 16S ribosomal RNA". It matches the Rfam family "Bacterial small subunit ribosomal RNA", at positions 354 to 933 of the family's 1533-position model. The record is from RNAcentral.
UGGGGGAAUUUUGGACAAUGGGGGAAACCCUGAUCCAGCCAUCCCGCGUGUGCGAUGAAGGCCUUCGGGUUGUAAAGCACUUUUGGCAGGAAAGAAACGUCGCGGGUUAAUACCCCGCGAAACUGACGGUACCUGCAGAAUAAGCACCGGCUAACUACGUGCCAGCAGCCGCGGUAAUACGUAGGGUGCAAGCGUUAAUCGGAAUUACUGGGCGUAAAGCGUGCGCAGGCGGUUCGGAAAGAAAGAUGUGAAAUCCCAGAGCUUAACUUUGGAACUGCAUUUUUAACUACCCGGGCUAGAGUGUGUCAGAGGGAGGUGGAAUUCCGCGUGUAGCAGUGAAAUGCGUAGAUAUGCGGAGGAACACCGAUGGCGAAGGCAGCCUCCUGGGAUAACACUGACGCUCAUGCACGAAAAGCGUGGGGAGCAAAACAGGAUUAGAUACCCUGGUAGUCCACGCCCUAAACGAUGUCAAACUAGCUGUUGGGGGCCUUCGGGCCUUGGUAGCGCAGCUAACGCGUGAAGUUGACCGCCUGGGGAGUACGGUCGCAAGAUUAAAAACUUAAAAUGGAAUUGACGGGGGUCAUAGCUGUUUUU